ACCAAAUCUGCCAGCACCUCUGUCUUGAACGUUCCAGUCUUCAGAGCCAUGACUCGCAGUAUUUCUUUGAAGUGUGCAUCUGUUGUGAAGAAGGAGUACAGCUGGAAAAAAUAGAGCGUCAACUGUAUUUUCUGUGUAGGUGUUUUUCAAUCGGCUGCCCAGGACGAUAUUGCAUAUUUGAGCAAUAUGCUUUCCAUUUUACUGCCCUUUUCCAAAUCACACAAUUAAUAGAUAACAACCCAAGAUCCACAUACACUCUGAGGGCUGUGGGGAAGUGGAGUGAGAGAAGAGAAUUCCUGUGCACAUGGGCUGAAUGGGUGGUAGGGAGGAGUUCUAGUUUUUCCUUCUAUCUUGGAAGGAUAGGACUUGGUUUCUUUCAGAGACAUGAACCCUUAUGUGCUAGAAAAGGAAGCCGCAGAGAAUUUUCCAGGGACUGGUACAAAGGUUGUAAAAUAGGACAUGAAAUGACAGAGAAGCGGGUGCUCUUACUGCAAAGUCUGUCUUGAAUUUCAGCUUUACUGGGAGAGGUGUGUGAUAUUAUUCUGCUAGUAGCUUCAUGGGUUAGCCUCAUAAAACAUAGUUAUCCCCCCAGGGGAUGCUGGUCUUUUCUUAUUUUUUUCAUCAUUCUUCCUUAUUCCUCAUUAAGAAUCACAACCUUCUCUCUCUGUCCUUCCCCAAAUUUCCAAGCAAUAGAAGGACACUUUUAUAAUUAUGACUCCAUUAGAGAUCAUCUAGAAAUCGAAAAUGAUUCUGUGAAGCCCAAAUAUCUGAGACAGGUCUCAUUCAAUUUAGGAAGUUCAUUUUGCCACAGUUAAGGAGGUGCACCAGUGACACAGCCUUAGGAAGUCCUGACAAUGUGUGUUAAAAGUGGUCGGGGCAAUAGCUUGGGUGUCCACAUUCUAGGGAGACAUGAGACAUCAAUCAAUUAUGUAAAAUGUAUAUUGGUUUGGUCUGGAAAGGCAGGACAACUGGAAGCAGAGACAGGGCCUCCAGGUCAUACAUAGUUAAGAGACAAAUGAUUGCAUUCUUUUGAGUUUCUGAUUAAUGUUUAAAAAUGAGGCAAUCAGAUACACAUUCAUCUCAGGAGCAGAGGGAUGGGAGGCAUGUUUGCCCUCAACAGUUUCCCUCUUGAGUUUUCCCUUUAGCUUAGUGAUUUUGGGGGGGAGGGUCCCAAGAUUUAUUUUCCUUUCAAAAAUCCAAAUGUAUGUGUCUCCAGAUAUUUUAUUUUAUUCUCAUAAAGGAUGGGAAUGCAGAAUAUGCUUUGUUUUAUUUUUUUAAAAAAAGACUAGGUGUUUACCUUUAAAAUUUCAGGUUUUAGAAACAUUGUGUUUUAGAAGUCUUUCCUUGAAAAAUAUGCAGACCGAAGCAAAAUCUACUCACCCUCGCUUUUAGGAGACCUCAAACUGAACAUUUGCCUACGUGGCCUUCUUUUGUUUUUUCAAGCUUAUUUCAAUAGGACUGAUCAUAACUCGUAUUCAAACAGCAAUCCAAAGGACAGAAGAUCUUUAUCCUUGCAAAGGGUGGUCAUAAUUUUGUUAAGUAAGAAGACACCGGUGAAAACGAUCACCGCAAAUCCAUUUCCAUAAGAAAAAAGAACCAGUGUAACUUGAAAAGGCCUUUUAUUCAAUCUCAAGGACAGAAUUGGGGGAAAAUUCUAAAUGCUGAAAUCACAAUAAGGCCCACUAAGAUUUUCUCCUAUUUACUCGCAGACCCUGCUCUAGACUGCAUGCUGGACAGGGGGCUGCCCUGAGCUCACACCACGGCCGUAAAGCUCCCUGCUUGCGUUCUCCCGCCCGCCUGCAUUCCCGCCACCGAGCAGCAGCUGUGUGAUUUUUUUUUUUUUUUUUUUUUUUUUUUUUUCCCGGCCCGGGCUGCCCUGGGCGAAUGCUCUUCGUCAAGUUCCCUCUUAAACAGUGGUCAAACAUUCUUCUGGUGCAUCUAUUAUUUUCAGGUCCUUUAUUACAGGUACUGACCCUGUAAUCUCAGCAGCACAGGUUCGCCCAGCAGGGCUUCGGGAUGCUUCCCUGACUCUCCCCCGACUUUCACACCAACGCCCUCCGGGGACGAUUCCAAUGGGUGUCAAGUCCAUUCUCUGAUGAACAGACUCGCGCUUUGAGAGCAUCUUCAGGGUCAGCGCAUCCAGGGACCAUUUUCCUCGAGCGCCACCGCCUGGCCCAAACGGGAACGACCUGUGCCCGUUGCUGAGGACAAACACUGGAGAUGGAAUUUCUAGUGUUUGUACAAUCUUCGUCCUUUUCCAUUUUUUGUAAAGUGACGAUGACAGAUAUUUUCGCUUAUGACUGCAAGUAUUUUUCCUCUGAAUAAAUAUACCAUUUUUUUCUGGCAAUAAUUUGCGUUUAAAAAUAGGCCGGGCGCGGUGGCUCACGCCUGUAAUCCCAGCACUUUGGGAGGCUGAGGGGGGUGGAUCAUGAGGUCAAGAGAUCGAGACCAUCCUGGUCAACAUGGUGAAACCCCGUCUCUACUAAAAAUACAAAAAAAUUAGCUGGGCACGGUGGCGCGUGCCUGUAAUCCCAGCUACUCAGGAGGCUGAGGCAGGAGAAUUGCCUGAUCCCAGGAGGCGAAGGUGGCGGUGAGCCAAGAUGGCGCCAUUGCACUCCAGUCUGGGUAACAAGAGCGAAACUCCGUCUCAAAAAAAAAAAAAAAAAAAAAAAAAUACUGAGACUGGGCAUGGUGGCUCACUCCUGUAAUUCCAGCAAUUUAGGAGGCCGAGGUGGGAGGAUGGCUUGAGUCCAGGAGUUUGAGACCAGCCUGGGCAACAUAGCAAGACCCCGUCUCUACAAAAAUAAUUUUCAGAACUAUUGGGUGAGCUGGCGUGCACCUGUAGUUCCAGCGACUCAGGAGGCUGAGAAGGAGGGAUGGCUACAGUGAGCUGUGAUCACACACUGCACUCCAGCCUCAGUGACACAGCAAGAGCCUCCUUUAAAAAAAAGGAAAAAGAAAAAAAUAAAAAUACUGAAAUGAGAGCUAUCCUAUACCCUCAACUAUAUAUUACAUAAAUUGUAUUCUUUCGAAUUCUAAACGCUGGAUAGGAUGUGAUUUGGUAAUAACAUAAAAAUAUAAGAGCAGAAACAGGCAAACAAAAAGGAGAAAGUGUUUUUCCUCUGGCAUUCUAACCUUGGUGGACAGGAUGGGUGGAGAACCCCUAAAGGGCUUGCUUGGUUGGUGCCCACCCCUGCCUGCUCCCCAGUGGUCAAGACGGAGCACUGAUGCUACAGACCCAGGCUCCAGAAUACACUGGAGGCAAAGGCUCCCAAAAGAGUGUGCACACCUCGACGAGUAUAUGCGUGUGAGCAAACACCUCUGUAAGGAGUCUCCUUGGGGCAUUAAAAGAAAAUAUUAACAUUUCUCUUCAUACUUGUUUUUAUCUCAAAUUUCAAUGCCUUUAUUUUUAUAGGGCACAUGGAAUUAUUCAAACGCUUGUAUAUUGUUUACAAAGCAAAUCAGUGUUUUCAUAGGUCUUGGGUGUGUGGCUCUAAAAAUUCGAGUUUGCCAAGGAGGUGGUGGAAGGAUGAUGACGGCUUCCCUUGGACUGGGCAGAGGUGGGUCGAGUAGGGUGUGGAUCUUGAUCUUUCUGCCUGGGGCGCAGUCCUAUGGCCAAGGAACAGGAUCCCUUUUUCCACCCCUUACUUGUAGACUGCCCAGGUGCAGGAGUGAGGGGUGCAAGGAGCCACCCUUAUGAGAAGGUGCAG
This is a long non-coding RNA of Callithrix jacchus (white-tufted-ear marmoset), 3710 nucleotides long. The record is from Ensembl. NCBI's taxonomy places the organism in Eukaryota, Metazoa, Chordata, Mammalia, Primates, Cebidae.